CAUUAAGUUGGGCACUCUAAGUUGACUGCCGGUGACAAACCGGAGGAAGGUGGGGAUGACGUCAAAUCAUCAUGCCCCUUAUGAUUUGGGCUACACACGUGCUACAAUGGACAAUACAAAGGGCAGCGAAACCGCGAGGUCAAGCAAAUCCCAUAAAGUUGUUCUCAGUUCGGAUUGUAGUCUGCAACUCGACUACAUGAAGCUGGAAUCGCUAGUAAUCGUAGAUCAGCAUGCUACGGUGAAUACGUUCCCGGGUCUUGUACACACCGCCCGUCACACCACGAGAGUUUGUAACACCCGAAGCCGGUGGAGUAACCAUUUGGAGCUAGCCGUCGAAGGUGGGACAAAUGAUUGGGGUGAAGUCGUAACAAGGUAGCCGUAUCGGAAGGUGCGGCUGGAUCACCUCCUUUCUAAGGA
This 417-nucleotide ribosomal RNA is filed under the name Staphylococcus chromogenes. RNAcentral's name for it is "bacterial SSU rRNA". It matches the Rfam family "Bacterial small subunit ribosomal RNA", at positions 1122 to 1533 of the family's 1533-position model. Lineage: Bacteria; Bacillati; Bacillota; Bacilli; Caryophanales; Staphylococcaceae. The record is from RNAcentral.